Molecule: ribosomal RNA, 253 nt
Filed under: uncultured bacterium
Lineage: Bacteria
Description: partial 16S ribosomal RNA
Rfam family: Bacterial small subunit ribosomal RNA
Source: RNAcentral
UACAGAGGGCGCAAGCGUUGUUCGGAUUCAUUGGGCGUAAAGGGUGCGUAGGCGGCUCGGCAAGUCGGGUGUGAAAUCUCGGAGCUUAACUCCGAAACUGCAUUCGAUACUGCCGUGCUUGAGGACUGGAGAGGAGACUGGAAUUUACGGUGUAGCGGUGAAAUGCGUAGAUAUCGUAAGGAAGACCAGUGGCGAAGGCGGGUCUCUGGACAGUGCCUGACGCUGAGGCACGAAGGCGAGGGGAGCAAACGGG